This 371-nucleotide ribosomal RNA is filed under the name uncultured bacterium. Its description in RNAcentral is "bacterial SSU rRNA". It matches the Rfam family "Bacterial small subunit ribosomal RNA", at positions 527 to 896 of the family's 1533-position model. The record is from RNAcentral.
GUAGGGGGCAAGCGUUGUCCGGAAUCAUUGGGCGUAAAGAGCGUGUAGGCGGUCCGGUUAGUCGGCUGUGAAAGUCCAGGGCUCAACCCUGGGAUGCCGGUCGAUACUGCCGGACUAGAGUCCGGAAGAGGCAAGUGGAAUUCCCGGUGUAGCGGUGAAAUGCGCAGAUAUCGGGAGGAACACCAAUGGCGAAGGCAGCUUGCUGGGACGGUACUGACGCUGAGACGCGAAAGCGUGGGGAGCAAACAGGAUUAGAUACCCUGGUAGUCCACGCCGUAAACGAUGGGCACUAGGUGUGGGAGGUGUCGACUCCUCCCGUGCCGGAGCUAACGCAUUAAGUGCCCCGCCUGGGGAGUACGGCCGCAAGGCUA